UCAACGUUCUGAACGAUCACAUCCGUGUAUUCCGUGUCAUUCAUUAUGGCAUUAAUCUCAAAAUUUUUCAUAUCUUAAUUUAUAUUUGUGUAAUUAUCGUUUCAAUUCCUCCAACUUGUGUAUGAGUGUUCAGGAAUGACGAGCUUAACGGUAUGAUUAGUAAUUAAUAAUGAUGAAUAAUUCCAAAGAUUAGAGGAAUCUACUUCUCUUUAGAUGAAUCAGUGGCUUCGCCUAAAGGAUAAUAUGUAAUGAACUCAUUACCUGAGUCAAAAAGCCAGGUUUUUUCGUUUCUUCUAGCGAUUAUUUAGUAUAGACUCAUCCUUGAGGAUAUGUCUUCAGCUGAGGGUGAUGAUCCUCCAUUUUUACCUGUUGGUACUGAAGUCAGUGCCAAAUACCGAGGAGCAUUUUGUGAAGCCAAAAUAUCCAAAGUCGUCAGGAGCGUCAAAUACAAGGUGGUUGGUAAAUCAGGAACAGGAGCCACUUUUGUCCCUGAAGAAAGGAUCCGAGGGAACAUCAGGUUGGGAGGUUUUGUUGAGGUGAAGAAUGAUAAAAGUCAGUACAUUGAAUGCUCUAUCGUGAAGAUCAAAGAUUUGAGCCAGUACACAGUUGUGUUCAAUGAUGGAGACAUAGCAACCCUUAGAAGAACCGCACUAUGUCUGAAGUCAGGGCGGCAUUUUGCGGAGAGUGAAACUUUGGACCAGCUCCCUCUGACUCAUCCAGAGCACUUCAGUACACCGGUCAUCAGCUCCAGCAGUGCAAGCAAUGCAGCGAGAAGAGGUCGAAGGAAUAGAAUGGAUGAUGAAAGUGACGAUGAAGAAUUAGUAACAAGCAAAACCAAGCAAUCCAAGAGCAAGCAGGAAAAGGAAGCAGACAUCGGGAAAGUGGUUUGUGUUGAGCUGUCUGACAAUCGAAAGAAACUUUCUAGGGAUAACUGGUUUCCAGGGUUAAUUGUUUCGCCAACUGCUCAGAACACUGCUGUGAAGAUUCAAGUAAAAAAUGAGUAUUUAAUACGGUCUUUCAAAGAUGGACGAUACUACACAGUACCCAAAAAAGAGACGCAAGAAUUCACCCGAGAUAUAGCCAACAGAGUUGAAAAUGCCUCAUUAAAAACUGCUGUAGAAAAAGCAUUGUUAUUCUUGGACAAGGAUGAAUUACCACCUCAUUGGGAUAGAGAAUUACUAUUUGGACUUGGAGAUCCAGGAUCAUCUGACUCUGACAACGGUUUUGAAUCGGAUAGUUCCGAUGAUGAGCCUAGAGAGGAAAAGGACCAUUUUGUUGCGCAGCUGUAUAAAUUUAUGGAUGAUCGAGGCACCCCUAUCAACAAGGGACCUCAAGUCAAUUUUAAAGAUGUAGAUCUAUACAAAUUAUUCAAGGUUGUUCAUAAGUUAGGUGGUUACAAUAGGGUUACUAACCACAACCAGUGGAAACUUGUAUCCCUCAAAUUAGGUUUCAGCCAAACAGGAGCUACUCCGAACCAUGUCAAAUCAACUUACAAAAAAUACUUACAUAGUUUUGAAGAUUUCUACCGUAAACUAGGUUGCACUUUGCUCAGUAAUCCAAGGAGUAAUAGGAGCCGAAGUAGAAGUGGUCGUAGUUUGAUUCGUGACAAAGACAGAUCAACUCCCAUUCAGAGGGAUAAAUCUAAUGAAGACAAAGAUUCAAAAGAUGACUCGAGUAGUGAUCGUAAAGAUGAAGAUAGUGAUGAUAAAGAAAGAGAUAUUGAUUCCAAGCUCAUCAGGGAUACCCAAAGUUCUACCAAAAGCUCUAUCAAAGUCAAAGAGGAGAAGUCUGAAAAAUCAAAAGAAGAGAAAGGGAAGUCUGAGUUGGAAACUAAAGUGACUGACGAAGAAUCAAGAAAAGAGGAUAAAAAAAUUCGUGCCAGCAAGAAUGUUGAAGAAAAGCCAGCAAAAGCUAGUGAGAAGUUUGAAACUGAUUCAAAAGUGUCCAAGAAAGAUGCCUCCAAACUGUCCAAGGAUGAUAAGGAUUUGUUGGAAGUUAAAGAGAGCAAAACCUUUAAAACUGAUCGUGAUAGUCGAAUGUCUAAAAAACUAUCAGCACUUGAAGAGUCAGUUGAGAAAAAACCGAAGUCACUUUUGGGGAAAGUUCUAAUGAAGAGAAAAAAUCCUAAAAGCGCUGGAAAAGGAACGGUGAAAGAUCCCCUGUCCACCCUUCAGAACACAAGACAGAAAAGAACUCUAAAGGAAAAUUUAAAAGCUUUCGCUAAAAAGUUAAAGUUUACCAAGUCCGGACAUCAAGAUAUAGCAAAAAUCCUUGAAGAGGAAAGCGAUGGUACGCUAAGUGCUGGCCAGUCCCAGAAAGCGUCCGAUUCAGAUACAUCUAGCAAACAGUCAACUCGAUCAAAACAAAAAGAUGACACAGUCCCAGUCUCAAAAUCUAGGAAAAUGUCUCUGUCACUAUCUGCCGGGACUUCAGGUGCACCCUCUAUGUUGGAGCAGACCUCAUCGGAAAAGAAAACUUCUGGUGUCACCCUUGCACAAUUUGAGUCAGGAAGCAAUUCGUCAAGCAGCGGUUCUGUCAAGAAUAAGAGAACGGAAGAUGAUGCGGAAAGUGUCUCCGUUGCAGCCAUGUCAUCAUCAUCUCAAAAUUUGUCUUCUACAUCCGAGUCUGCCAAGAGAAAAAUAGGAAAGAAGAAGAAAGAAGAAGAAAAAACAGGGACCACCAGUGCCAGAGAUGACCUCAAAGCAGCACCAGCUUUUAAAACUGUGUCGAUUGGGGAUAAGUUGAAAGUCUACUACGGACCCUCCACCCAAGAUUCGAAGAAAGUCACGUACGAAGCAAAAGUUUUGAAUAUAAAAGAAAACCGCAAUGCUUCUCCAGAUGAGCCAUCAAAAUUAUAUUUGGUACAUUAUACUGGCUGGAAUACGCGUUACGAUGAAUGGAUUCCCUUGACUCGGAUCGCAGAUAAUCUGACAGGUCCUGCAGAUGGCUCUGAAAAUUCUGGCACUGACACGGCUCCACCCAAAAAUUCUAAUGAAAGCAAAGGUCCUCCGCCAGGUUUAUCUAAGUCAACAACCAAAUUGGCAUCAUCUACUUCAUUAUCUGGUAGGAAUAAGUCACCCGGUAACUCUGUCAGACCUCCUUCCAGCAGAAUUAUGGCCAAAAAAUCAAGAACAAGAAAAAUUUCAUCUCAGAACACAGAUGGUUCGGAUUCAGAUAAUGACUUCGCAGACUUAGAAGACUCAGCAACCAGGACUGACGACUCAGAUGAUGAAAUCGACCUGCAAAAUAUAAGUGAGCUCUCAGCCUCAUCUCUAACUGGAAGUGAAAUAACCACUCGCAGCCAGCGUGAUAAACGUGGUAAAAUCUCAGAUCUUGGCAAAGACUCAGAUAAUUCAAAUGAUAGCAAAAAGAAGGAUACAACCCCACGUCCAACGAAAAAACCCAUCCUAAAACGCAAGAAUUCAGACCCAGCAAUGAAAACUGGCAAGUGGAAUAAAGAGGAGGACGAAGAAGUAGAAGAAACUGAGGAUUGGACAAUGGAGUCGCGGAAGAAGAUUCGAAGUAAGGCAGAGGAAGAAAAUACAAUCAGUAGCAGUGGGUCACUCAGGAAAAAGAAGCUAUCAAAAGAAACCUCGAAAGAUGAAGAUAUGGACCAGUCAGGCGAUAACUCAUCGGCCAAAAAGAAAAUAUCGACAAGGUCAAAUAAAGAUUCUUCUUUUGACGACUCAAGCCUCCUUGACACAUCCAAUAAAACCCCUGGAUCCUCUGGGAAAAAAGUCACAAGAUCCUCCGUCAUCAAACGAUCUCCUCGUUGUAAAAGUGCUCUUUAUGUCGAUGAAAUUGAUGAAGACGCAGAUGUAGAAGACGAUGACGAUGAAAACGAGGUUGAAGUCAUGCCCAAAAAAGCAGAAUCCCAUGCUGCAGUUGUCCCAGACAAGAAGCCCUCGCCAGAAAAAGACUCUGCCAAGAAAGUCUCUAAGUCAAAAGCCUCCACAAAUGACGUUAAAGAAGAGUCCAUAGACAAGAAGAAAUCAAAACCUGACGAGGAUCCAGUGAAAAAAGAAAGCGCACCCACCCCAACGGAAAAUAUCUACCAGAGACGAUAUAGCGGCCGAAGAAGCACGCACUUGAAAAAUAAACAGAUCCGAGAAGCUGAAGACAAAGCAGAUUCUAAAGUUUCGCCAAGGGGUCGAGAAUACGACUUGGCAGCUAUCAGGUCUGAGUUGAAAGGGCUUUCUAAAGCAUCUCAAGACUUAGAAAGUGAUAACCUUGCCAAGGACGGAGAUGAUAAGACGCCUUUAGAUGAUAAACACAAUUUGGAGAGUUCUAUUGAAGAUGAGAAGUAUCUUUCCUCUGAACAAAUUAGUAACUUACUGACUGACACUCCCAAAAAGGGCACAUCAUCGACUGAGCCGCUCUCCUCAUUAAAGAAAUCUGUCUCUAGCGUGGAUUCUUCAAAAAAACCUAUCAGCGAUGUAACACAGAACAGUAUCCCAGUGAUUGAUACGACUGUUAAAAAGCAAGUGUCAACUGAUUUAGGUUUGAAAAAAUCAUCAGAAUCAACUCCUAAGCCAGCUGUAAGCGCAGAAACAACCUCCCAGAAGCUUGAAUUUCCCCAAAAGAAAGCAACCACUUCUGAAGCAGCGUCAAAAAAAAUUAUUCCUCCAGAAAGUGGUCCCAAGAAGAGUAUUUCACCAUCAGAAGCUACGAAAAAAUCAGUCGUUGCCCAAGAAACUAUUCCAAGGAAAUCAGGCGCUGAUCUUAGUAAAAAGAAGAGUUUAGACUCAAGCACGAAAAAAGUGGAACCUGUGACUCCCAAUCGUUUUGCUGUUUCAGAGCAACCUUCUAGCGAUCUAGAUGACAUAUAUGAAUUCAAAGAGUCCGAUCCAUUUGAAUUCACCGAGUGUCGUAGCAAAUCAGGAUCCUCUGAUGAGAAGAACCCCAGUAAACUGACCCCACGACGUCCGAUUGCUCCGGGAAUUUCAGCUGCUUCAUCUAGUCCCAAAGUUGAUAACCUUGACUCCAGGAGCACUCCAACAACGCCUUCUGCCACACCAAAGAAAAAACCAUUCUUAGAUCUAUCCUCACCCCCGCCGUUGGUAUCCUUUAGCUCAGAAGCUCCUAGUGUUGUCAGUGUAACAACAAGCACAAAACGGAAAUUUGAAGAUCCUAGCACUCAAGACUCGACAAAAGAAAUGAAAAAGAAAAGAUCUCCAUUUGUUGCAACUGUGCAAAGUGAUACUCUCUCAUCAGAAAAAGUUACAGAAGUAUCAAAAAUCGAUGCUGUAAAGUCAGCCUUGUUUGGUGGUCUUAUCGAUUCAUCUGAUAAGUCCAAGACUGUUGUAGACACAAGUAAAUCAGUAACCGAUGCAGCAAAAGUUGAGUCAGUUGAUACGAAGCCAGCCAUCAAUUUAGAGGCAGCCAACACCGCAACCGCUCUUCCAGACUUAUUUUCAAGAAAAGACAAACUCACAAGUGCACUGGUUUCGUCAGUAAUAAAAUCAGAAGUAGACAAGUUAGAAUCCAACAGACCUACCUCAGAUAAUGUCGAUCAACCCGAAAAAUCUGAGACCAAAGCAGUUGUAGAAAAUGAAAAGUCGUCUAGCGUAGACUCCAAAGCCUACAAUGUAAUCAUCCGCCCGAAUCUCAAAACAUUUAGCAAGCAAGCGGCUUACAAGUACCCUCCACCACUGGUGCCCAGUAAAUCGGCAUUCUCUGCUAUCUCAGAAGAUAAACUUGACGAUAACAAAUCACCUGCGGUCCCAGAAACGGAUAGCAAGGUCACAACAUUUGACAGCUCCAGAAUCAAACUGUCACCCGUAUUGUUCUCUAGUCCUGCAAAGGGCUCUGAUGUGGAAUCAGAUGAUAUCAAACCGUUCCUCUUCGAAACGCCAAAAACAUCUGAAAAAUUGAAGGAAUCUAGUAAAGGGUCAAUUAAUGGACUCUCAGAGAUUAAGUCUGUUGAAGUGAUAACAGAAAUCAAAGAAGAAAUGCCUACCUUGAGUGCUACUGUAAAGGAAUCGAUCACAAAAUCAGGGAUCAGCAAAUAUGAUGAGGAUUCAAAAGUAAAGGAUGCAGCUAGGAAAGAUUACUCCAAACGAAAACCUGUUCUGAGUAAAGAAUUCAUCAACGAAGACUCAUCUAGCAGUGACUCAUCGAAUGAUUUUACUGCCCUUAUAACUAAGAAAGCAUCAAAAGGACCUUCAAAUAGAGAUCGCUCCUUCAUUUUUGACUCCAGCACCAGCAGUAACGAUGAUGACAACAAUGCUGAUGAUGAUAAUGAUGAUGAUAACAAUGAUGAUGAGGAUGACGAUGGAAAUCUACAGAUCAAUUUGGAAGUGAGUAGUCAAGAGGACAUCAAGAAAGCCAUCAUUGGAGAAGACAACAUUGAUGAUGACAAUGAUGCAGAUGAUGACGAUGAUGGGGAUGAAGAAGAUGGGGAUGAAGAAGAUGAUGAUGACGAUGAUGAUGACGACGAUGAUGAUGAUGAUGAUUGCUUUGUCUCAAGGAAAGAAAAGAAGCCACUUUCAGCGAAAAAUCAGGAACUCAGAAAAGAUGAGAUGGAUGGCUUGAAGGACCACACUGAUGCAAAAUCCAAUCCUUCAAAAGAAGUCGAUUUUUCAGACGACAAAACCUCUGCCAAAGAAGAAAAAGGCAUGAAAGAUAAUGUCUCCUUUGACAAGAAUGAAGCAUCAGAUGAAAAUGACUUCAUUGAUAAUGAACUUCUUUGUGAAGAAAUCAUUCCGAAGAGUCCUCCACCAGCAGGAGCUCAUGUUGAUAGUGGACCUAGCAAACUGGCAAGUAGUAAGAGCACCUCCAAGUCAAAAGAAAUGCCUUUUGCGAGCGCUUUAAGUAGUAACUGCUCUUACUCAGGAGCAGACAAAAUGUACUCGAGCUCCAAGAAUCUAAGCAUGUUCCCACCCAAAACUAUUAAAACUCUCCAACCUUCGUCCUCCAAAUUUAGGUCUUCUGCAUUAACCAAUAACGAUAGGAAAGAAACGUCUUCCAAUGCUGAGUCAAAUGAAGGCAGUAAAGUCAUGCUGAUGGACAUCACACCACCGAUGACGCCAGAAAACUGUCUAUCCCCUGUGUCAAAUUCACCUACUGAUGAUCAAAGCAAUUCAUCUCCAGCUCAUACUCAAGAUGAUAUUUAUAAAAGUACAACCACAGGCCAUAAAACAGUGGAUUACAACGAUGAUUCCUCAAGCAUUUUAGAUAUCAAAUCAGGGUCGAAAAAAGGUCAUGAUUCCUCAGCAGGAACUUCACGGAAAAGGAGACGUAGUGAGACUGAAGGAGGCCCAAGCUCUAAAAUUCCUUACUCAAGUUUUGACUCGACAAGGAAAAAAGUCAGGACAAAUCAAGAAAGUCCUUCCGCUUGUGGGAGCGACAGUGAUGAUGGAUCGGAACAAGGCACCAGCACUUUGGGUUCUAGUCCUUCCAAUUCAAGUAUUACCAAGGCCUCUAAAAAUAAUUUCUUCGUAGAAUUAGAUCCGGAACUUGAUGGUACUCAACGCAUUGCAAUACUGCAGCAAAAACUUCAAGAUCUGCGGAAAACGUACAUGAAUCUUAAGCAAGAGUUAGCAUGCAUUGAUAGGAGACGGAAGAAGAUUUGCCGAAGAGAACGAGAAGGUUACGCUUACGGAUUGAGAAGUAUGAACGCUUUAGUUCGCAAUCAGGAUUGAUUGGACUGACCCUAAUAGCCGUGUGAUAAUUCGUUGGUUUUCCAAUGUUUCCAAGAAAUAACUCUGAUGAAAUUUUUAACUAUAUUCAUUAAAAAAUCAAUAAAGGAGGAAACGCAUCUACAUCCUCCUGUUCUUGAAUCUUGAACCUGUCUAACUUCAGUUUCGUCUACAUGUUGUGAAUCCUCUCCGCUCUCUUUGCAGUAUAAAAAAAAAAACAACUACAAUCAAAAGCUCAAUAGGCUUCAAACUACUCUCAACCAAUUUUCCAAGAAUACCUAGUUAAAUUUUUCGUGUUACAGGAAUAUUUUAUUGUUAAGUGAAUAAGUCUUCAUCCCUCUCAGUGAGUCAUCACAUCUUGUAUCAAAUUGUAAUAUGGUUAUCAUCCUCUCUGCUUCGCAGAUUGCUUAAAGUGUUAAGUUAUUGUGUUUUUUUAUAUUUUAUUUUCAUUGUACGCAAGUACAAUAAAUAGUUAACUACUUAAUCCGAUCUCAUAUGUGAAAUGUGUAAGAAGUAGAAAUGACGUAAAUUAACUUUGGACUUUUGGCCCUGCUUUUAAUAUCUCACUAAUUUUUAAUUCGUUAUUUGUUCCAAAAAAAAAUGUGAACUUUUUAGUGUAUCAUAUUAUCGCCUUAGUUACUCCGCUAGGUCAAUGUCUCUUGCAGGACUUGUUUCCAAUUCAUGAUAGAAUCAUUCUAAUGUUUUAUUUAUUUAUUUGUGAAAUUUGUAAUUUUUUUAUUUUUGAAUUAAGUACGUAUUGUACUGUCAGUAAUUUUGUUUCAAAUUUUUUAUGAUAGGUUUUUAAUUUUUAUUUCUCCAUUAUGUUGCGUAGAGACCGGUUCUUUUAAUAUCCAAGAGAGAAUCAUUGAUUUCUGUCAGGAUUUUGAAGUUUCAGUCCGUUUUUUUGGUUUGUUGAAGUCUAGAGCAAAACUAAUCAAGGAAGGUAUAUAUUCUUCCUCAGUGACUCAUUUAAAAUUUUAAUGUAAAGUGUAUCAAAAUGUACACAUGCCACAUUAUUCAUGCUGCGAACAAAAAUAUAUUUAAACUUAAAAGAAUUUCAGCAUUGCAAUUCGUCCUAAUUUCAUUUUGAUGUCUAAUUUAAUGUAAUCCAAUUAAUUAACUUUUAAUUAUCAAAUAAUGUGUAAUUAUCUGUUUCUCCAGUGAUUUUUAUUAGUCCAGGAUAGGUUGUGUGUGGUGACUGUGCUAUUUUCUGAAUCCAUUAAUUGAGAUUUUUUGCAAGACAUUGGGAUAUAAACUCUUUUGUAUCGCUUUUAAUCUGAUUUUCGAACUGUGAUGUAGCCAAAGACUGAUAGUGAAGUAAUUCCGAUUUUUUAGCCGGAAAUUAAACUGAAUGCGCAUUAGUUACGACUAUUAUGCUUUUCAAUCUUGAUUUUUGUAGCUAGAUUGUAUGAGUCCUCUUUGAGUCCUGAAGGAAUUGUAACAUUACAGGUUGUCUGCAGGUCUCGAAAUCAGGAAAUCGUCUGAGACUUUCAUUAAGUCAGGGAAUUUAUGAAAAAUACUGCAAAUUUGCUAUUGAAACUUAAAAUCUGAAAAAAUAUCAGGGCUGUCUACAUUCCAACGGAGUUGCAUUCUGGUUCUGGGUUCAGUGCCCUGAAUUACACUCUGGAUAGUGAGUAGAUGAAUAAUUUUUAAUAAAAAAAUGAGUUUAAACGUAAUUGAAUGUUAACAACCCGGAGAAAAAACGUUCAAUCAUUACUGUCAUUUGCAGUGAAAUUAAUGUAAAAAAUUCCUCACUUUUUCUCCUACGCGCACUAAUUGUUGCUGUGAAAAGUCAAGGAAUUUUGAUAAUUUUUGUCAAGGAAUUUCUUUCCUCCAAGUUUGUAGACACCCUGUGUUUUCUGUAAAUUUUGGCAAUGCACCUUCUACUACAGUAAAUCGUACUCGAUACAUCAAACGGGUGAGAUUGUAUCUAUAUCGAUUGGUUCAAAACAUAAACAUAGCCUCAAAAGUCAAUUGAGUAAAUCUGACGGAACGGAUUUUUUGUGAUAGAUUUUUGAUUCGUAUGAGUACUAAUUGGUCAAGAGGAGUAAAACUACUACAAAAUUUCUCAUUUUCAGCUUUUCUGGUAAAUAUCUUAAAAUUUUGGUUCGAGGUUAUGCUCUAUUGUUUUGAACCCAAUGAUACAUCGGAUCACUAUCGAAUACCAUUCAUUAAAUUCUGUCAAAUCCAAGAUCAUGAUGUCAUGAUAUUUUGGUUUGAUUAGCAUUAGAUAUAGUAACACAUAUCUGUAACAAAGUGCUUUUACGGACAUCCCCAACUUUUCACCUUUGAGCCCUAGUAAAAAGAUAAUUUUUGCUUUGCGUAUCGAUGGGUAAAGUAUGGAAUAUCUCCAAGUAAUUUAAGUAGUCGUAAAUAAAAUGUAUCUCCAUUGCAACAUUUCAAAAUCUUCAGUUAUAUUUUUGUCUUUAAAAAAUCGACCAAAAUAUCUCUUUAAAAUGUUCAGUGAAUUUUUCUUGAAUAAGUGUUACAAAUUCACAAAAAUUAAAAAGAAAAAGAAAAUUUUUAUCAGGUUCCUUACAAUGAAGUGAAAUUCAAUAAAUUAAUAAAAGAAACACUCUAGCACAAAUUUGCAUUGUUGCAACAGGAGUUAUCCAUUUUUCGAUAUUGGUCAUGGAUAUGUUGAGCCUCCUGAAGGACUAAAGAGAUGACAUUAAGGUAGUGUAACGCAGUGAGAGUUAUUUUAACCAUCAUAGGAUUGAUGAUUUACUGUAGGAGGAAAAAACGGAAGGAUACACCCCAUUUUUUAAAAUUCUUUAUGAGUUUGUAAGAAAUGGUUAUUUUAUUUGAGGGGUGCUUUGUAUAUUGUAUGAUUUCUCUCUCAUUUGAGUAAUUAUUUGAAGUGAUUAUUAAUUGGACGGACUUAAUAGAAACAGCCAAAAUAUAUCAGACGCUGUCUAAUAUCUUCUACUCUAUUUUUAUUUUCACAGUUUAUAAUUGUGCUUUUAGUUUCCUUCUGAUAACGUGGUCUGAUAAUGUAGCCUACUCAAUAUGAGUGUAAAUUUUUUCUGAUUUUCAGGCGCUAGAUUCACAAACCAAAAACUCGCAUAAAAAUUGUGGAUAUUUUACCCCUACAGAUGUGAUCGAGAACCAGUUUCCUCGCAGCAUCUUUAAAUUGUAAUUCUCUUGAUACUUACUAACAACAUUGUAUAAACCUGUAUAAUACAUAUGAUCAGCAGGCUGCAAAGUGAAGUUAAAUUGUAAAUAGAUCAGUUUCAAGUUCAUCAUUUCAGUUCUUGUUUGAUAGAUUUUAUGAUAAUUUCUCAUUUUAUUAGUUGAUAUGUUAAAAAUGUAUAAUUUAUGUAUGAAAUUACAUGUUUUUUCUUUUUAUUGAAAAAAA
This is a non-coding RNA of Bemisia tabaci, 10998 nucleotides long. The record is from RefSeq and is a predicted model, not a curated record. NCBI's taxonomy places the organism in Eukaryota, Metazoa, Arthropoda, Insecta, Hemiptera, Aleyrodidae.